UCGUAACAGAGAGAGACGAAACAGUGAUGUGGAGUAAAACUUAUAAAAGCGACCUCAGUUCGGAUUGAAGGCUGAAAUUCGCCUUCAUGAAGUCGGAAUUGCUAGUAAUGGCAGGUCAGCAUACUGCCGUGAAUACGUUCCCGGGCCUUGUACACACCGCCCGUCACACCAUGGGAGUCGGUAACACCCGAAGCCUGUAGUCUAACCGCAAGGGGGACGCAGUCGAAGGUGGGAUUGAUGACUGGGGUGAAGUCGUAACAAGGUAAC
RNAcentral lists this ribosomal RNA (267 nucleotides) under uncultured bacterium. Its description in RNAcentral is "partial 16S ribosomal RNA". It matches the Rfam family "Bacterial small subunit ribosomal RNA", at positions 1234 to 1500 of the family's 1533-position model. The record is from RNAcentral.